This is an RNA transcript of Otolemur garnettii (small-eared galago), 5995 nucleotides long. It is a transcript of the gene named malignant fibrous histiocytoma amplified sequence 1, with no coding region annotated. Lineage: Eukaryota; Metazoa; Chordata; Mammalia; Primates; Galagidae. The record is from RefSeq and is a predicted model, not a curated record. The transcript is spliced from 4 exons.
CGCAGCGCGGCAUGUAGCUGUGGGCUCCCGCGCCCGCGCGAGGGUGUCGGCCCGGGGCCCCGCCAUGGCGGGGAAGGACAGUGGCAACCUGAAGACCGUGAGGCUGUGGCGGGACGCCGCCCUGCGCGCCAGGAAGCUGCGGAGCAACCUGCGCCAGCUCACCCUUAGCGCGGCCGGGGGCUGCCCCGGGGCCGGAGUCGACCCGCUCGAGUCCCCCGACUCUCCUCAGCUAGUGCUGCCGGCCAACAUCGGGGACAUUGAGGUGCUGAACCUGGGGAACAACGGCCUGGAGGAGGUGCCCGACGGGCUGGGGUCGGCGCUGGGCAGCCUGCGCGUCCUGGUCCUGCGCAGGAACCGCUUCGCCCGGCUGCCCCCCGCGGUGGCCGAGCUCGGCCACCACCUCACCGAGUUGGACGUGAGCCACAACCGGCUGACCACCCUGGGCUCGGAGGUGGUGAGUGCCCUGAGGGAGCUGCGCAAGCUCAACCUCAGCCACAACCAGCUGCCCGCCCUGCCCACCCAGCUGGGCACCCUGGCCCAGCUGGAGGAGCUGGACGUCAGUUUUAACCGGCUGGCGCACCUGCCGGACUCCUUCUCUUGCCUGUCCCGCCUGCGCACCCUCGACGUGGACCACAACCAGCUCACCGCCUUUCCUCGGCAGCUGCUGCAGCUGGCGUCCCUGGAGGAGCUGGACGUGUCCAGCAACCGGCUGCAGGGCCUACCUGAGGAUAUCAGUGCCCUGCGUGCCCUCAAGAUACUCUGGCUGAGCGGGGCCGAGCUUGGCACACUGCCCGCCGGCUUCUGCGAGCUGGCCAGUUUGGAGAGCCUCAUGCUGGACAACAACGGGCUGCAGGCUCUGCCCGCCCAGUUCAGCCGCCUGCAGCGGCUCAAAAUGCUGAAUCUGUCCUCCAACCUCCUCGAGGAGUUCCCUGCCGCGCUGCUGCCCCUGGCUGGCCUGGAGGAGCUUUACCUUAGUCGCAACCAGCUCACCUCGGUGCCGUCCCUCAUCGCCGGCCUGAGCCGGCUUCUCACCCUGUGGCUGGACAACAACCGCAUCCGCUACCUGCCUGACUCCAUCGUGGAGCUGACUGGCCUAGAGGAGCUGGUGCUACAAGGUAACCAGAUCGCAGUUCUGCCUGACAACUUCGGCCAGCUCUCCCGGGUGGGGCUGUGGAAGAUCAAGGACAACCCUCUCAUCCAGCCCCCCUACGAGGUCUGUAUGAAGGGGAUCCCGUACAUCGCAGCCUACCAGAAGGAGCUGGCCCACUCCCAGCCGGCAGUGCAGCCCCGCCUCAAGCUGCUCCUGAUGGGCCACAAGGCUGCAGGGAAGACCUUGCUCCGCCAUUGCCUCACGGAGCACAGAGUGGAGGGAAGCCAAGGAGGAGGGGACAAGGACAGGAGCUACCGACCUUCGGCGCCCCCCGUGAGCAAAGGCAUUGAGGUGACCAGCUGGACAGCCGAUGCUUCCCGGGGCCUGCGCUUCGUAGUGUACGACUUAGCUGGCGAUGAAAGUUACGAGGUCAUCCAGCCCUUCUUCCUCUCCCCAGGGGCCCUGUACGUGCUGGUGGUCAACUUGGCCACCUAUGAGCCGCGCUGCUUUCCCUCCACCGUGGGCUCCUUCUUGCGUCGCAUGGGGGCGAGGGUGCCCCACGCCGUGGUGUGCAUCGUGGGCACGCACGCAGACCUGUGCGGGGAGCGCGAGCUGGAGGAGAAGUGUCUGGACAUUCACCGCCAGAUCGCCCUGCAGGAGAAGCACGAUGCAGAGGGGCUGAGCCGCCUCGCCCAGGUGGUGGACGAGGCGCUGGCCCGGGACUUUGAGCUACGCUGCGCCAGUCCCCACGCGGCCUACUAUGGCGUUUCUGACAAGAACCUUAGGCGGCGCAAGGCCCAUUUUCAGUACCUGCUCAACCACAGGCUGCAAAUCCUCUCCCCUGUGCUGCCUGUUAGCUGCAAGGAUCCCCGCCAGCUGCAGCGCCUUCGGGACAAGCUGCUGUCCGUAGCUGAGCACCGAGAGAUCUUCCCCAACUUGCAUAGGGUCCUGCCUCGAUCCUGGCAGGUGUUGGAAGAACUGCACUUCCAGCCUCCUCAGGCACAGCGACUUUGGCUAAGCUGGUGGGACUCUGCGCGCCUGGGCCUGCAGGCGGGUCUGACCGAGGACCGGCUUCAGAGCGCCCUCUCCUACCUGCAUGAGAGCGGCAAGCUGCUUUACUUUGAGGACAGCCCGGCCCUCAAGGAGCACGUCUUCCACAACCUCACCCGCCUCAUCGACAUCCUCAAUGUCUUUUUCCAGAGGGACGGUUCCUUGCUGCUGCAUAAGCUGCUCCUAGGGACCAGUGGGGAGGCGGAGGCAGAGGAGGAAAGGUCGGCCACCGUGGCGCUGCCGGCCCCUGCUCAGGACCUGCUCCGGGCCACCCAGCUCCAUCACUAUGUGGAGGGCUUUCUGCUGCACGGGCUCUUGCCGGCCCAUGUCAUUCGGUUGCUGCUUAAGCCUCACGUCCAGGCACCGCAGGACUUGCAGCUGCUGCUGGAACUGCUGGAAAAGAUGGGCCUCUGUUACUGCCUCAAUAAACCCAAGGGCAAGCCUUUGAAUGGGUCCACCGCCUGGUACAAAUUCCCUUGCUAUGUGCAGAACGAGGUGCCCCACGCAGAGGCCUGGAUCAACGGGACCAACCUGGCCGGGCAGUCAUUUGUGGCUGAGCAGUUGCAGAUUGAAUACAGCUUUCCCUUUACCUUCCCGCCUGGGUUGUUUGCCCGCUAUAGUGUCCAGAUCAACAGCCACGUGGUGCACAGGUCGGAUGGUAAAUUUCAGAUCUUUGCAUACAGAGGGAAAGUUCCUGUGGUAGUGAGUUACAGACCUGCCAAGGGGGUCCUGCAACCAGACACCCUGUCCAUUGCCAGCCAUGCUUCCCUACCAAAUAUAUGGACCGCGUGGCAAGCCAUAACCCCUUUGGUGGAGGAACUGAAUGUCCUGCUUCAGGAAUGGCCUGGACUGCACUACACUGUGCACAUUCUCUGUUCUAAGUGCCUUAAGAGAGGGUCCCCUAAUCCCCACGCUUUCCCAGGGGAGUUGCUGAGUCAGCCCAGACCGGAGGGAGUGGCAGAGAUCAUUUGCCCCAAGAACGGCAGCGAGCGAGUGAACGUUGCCUUGGUUUACCCGCCUACGCCAACUGUGAUCAGCCCCUGUUCCAAGUAUCUUCAUACUUUCUUGGAAAAUUAAGUGGAAAAGAUAGUGCAUCUUUUCCUUAUGCCAUCAUUUUUACUGUACCCAAACUGUGACUUUAGGAGCACCAGUUUUUAAGGGAAGAACGUUGGUGAAAAGCAUAGAAACCAGUGACUUUCACGGCUGUGGAAUUUCCGUGGAGAGCAAAGAGCAUCCGAACUCACCUGGGAUUGUCUUUUGUACCCAGGGAGCCCUCUGCACCCAGCGUGUUCUGUGAACUCGAGUGACUAAGCAUUCAGGGUGCUUUCCGAGGUGGGGAGCGGGCAGGCCGGGGGGGCGGGGCGGGGGAGGAUGGGCGAGAAAAUGGAGCAAAUGUUUUACAACCUGAACCUCAGAACUGUGAUCCUCCAAGGAGAGCGCUACUUGAAGAAAAGAAACAAACAAAAAGUCGAAUGGCUUCUCAGGGAUUUUGUUUUCCAUGCACAUUCUAAGCCAUAGUUCCAGGACAGGUGGCAGUAUUUAGAGCACUCAGAUUUUAGUUGUGUUAAAUGUGAAAGAGGGAUCGACUGACGUUCAUUGCUGUUCCGUAACGAGUGUAAAAUAUGUAUAUGUUUAUCUUUAUUUUUAUAAUAUGCAAAUACAUUUAAAUUUAUACAGUUUGGAGCUUCUAGCGUUAGUGAACACUGGGUGCAAUAUUCUGCAUGAGAACUGUGCCAACUUAUUUUAGCAUAAGCCUUUUUUGGUUAUUUUUUUUUUCUUCCUUCUUUUAUCUUUCUCAGAUUAAAGAAAAUCUAUUAGCUCAUGGAUUAAGUAUUGGUUCAUAGAGAUUGCCAGUAAUCAGCAAGACCCUUAAAUAUGUAUUUCAGAGAGUGUCCCGUUCCUUUUCAAUAAAGGGCCCGGCUUAUAAAUCGCCUAUAUAAUCACGGCGGGGGUUAUGCCCUUUUCUUCCCCACAUAUCACUAGUGCUAGGCAGAGAUGGGGCACUCUUAGGGGCCAAAGGGGACAGAGAGUCCAUGAAAAACCUUCAUCAUUUAAUAGCUCAAGAUAAUCAGGAUUCAGUUCUGAAUCGUGCAAAGAACUCUACCACUAAGUACCUUGUUUUCCUAGAACAGUCUGUGAAAUUCAGCAGAGCCCUUUGCAGUCUCUCCACACACAUCUGGCUGUCAGGCCUUCAGAUAGUGACCUUUCUAAUUGGAGAGCACCAUCCCACGUUGGUUACUUAUAAAUACAGAGCCUCUGAUUGGACAGUCUGCUGCUGAGAACUUGUAAAACCCUUGCUUUAAAAUCUCCAUGAAGUCAAAUGUAAAGCAAAUGCAAAAGAAUUGCUCUCUUUUCUCCCCCUGACGGGGGCCAGACUGCCUGUGCUGUGAUAGAGACAAGGGAGGGGAUUCUGUUGACAUCUGCCUCCUCCGGGUGUUGGUUGGAAAAUGUGUAAAGAGAACUGAUUCUCUCCAGGGUCACACAAGACACGUGAGUCAGCUGGGGUUACCCUUCUGCUUCUUUGAUAAAGUAGUGACUCUUGGUAGGCUACAGUAGGCAAAGCCUCAACAGAUUUUUUUUUCAACAGAAAUAACAAGCCAGCACCUGCCUUGGGAGAAAUCAUGAGUUGAUCUCCGUAGGGCAUUUCUUGCCCCAGCAGGUGACUUUCCUGACCCCAGAGCCUAUAAUGAAAGAAGUAGGAUUUCCGAUGAUCAUAAAACCGAAUGGGAGCAGACUGUUUUUGCAUUUUCAAGUACUUGAAGGGGACAGCUCAAGUUGGAGAUUUCGUUUUCUUUAGAACACAGUCACAAGAUGAAUCUGGCUAAUCCCUUUGUCACAGUUCUCUUAUGUACGUGUGUGCGAGAGUGUGUGUGCGCGCCUGCGUGGAAGUGUAAAACUGAAUGGUAACUUUUAAUUGCUUUUUGGACCAUUGAAUUGUUGGGCAGUAAGAGUUUUUACAUUGGCCCAAGACAGUUUCUAAACUGUCCUAUGAACCAACUUUAACCAGUCUUGAGAACAAGACUCUUGAAGUGUGUGACUUUGGGCUACCUCCCCAAGGGACCAUAUUAAAUGAAAAACAAAACAAAACAAGAACAAAAAAAACAGGCUCCUUUGGGUGACAUACCCUGCACAGUGUUUGCUAUUAAUCAUGAGCAUCGAUGCCCACAUUCUUAAUAUCUAAUAUUAUUUGACAAGUGAUGUUUCGUGCUGUCAUCGGAACCCGAGAGAAGCAGUGGAAGAAGAAACUUGGUGUCACGUGUGUUUUAGCAAAAGGGUCCACAUGAUAGAGAAUCAAGUGACCGAAAGAAGCUCCAGAGAAGCUUGAGAACUUGCUUCAGGGUGGGGGAGGGUUGGAGACACAGAAAACAUUUUGCUCUACAAGGAAUUUUCAGCUGCCUGUGCAGGAAAUUCCAUGUUCUCUUUCAACACCUGGGAAGGCUCAGCGACCAGCCAAGACUGACAAGUAAUUCACUAAGCACAAGAGGAAUCUUUUUUUCCAACCGAGGAGUCCCUUACCUCUCAAUGAAAUGCCCUCCGAGUUUGUUAUGGCUUCUAUUCCUGCAACUGGUGGUAUCAGAACCACUUCCUGGAAUUGUAAAAGCAUUGCCAGAAUAAAUGGUUUCCCUCUUCUAAGAAAAAAAAAAAAAUGACAGUGCUCAGAUUUGACACGUGUGCAUUAAUUAGACUCCCUUUUGAAUGAAUAAAAAGGAAAGGGUUUGGUGUAAUUCCUGAUGGGGUGUGUGUUGUUUUUCAUGCCACGGUUUGUGGAUUGUAAUUGUGGUUUCUCAUUUCAUUGUCGUAACUGGGCAGAAAUUUUAAAAAAUAAAAUUCAAUAAAAAUGUAAAGAAAUGGUUA